GGAGGGCCUCACGGAUGAGCUAUUCAUCGGCGGCACCCUGCCAGUCGUUUAGAGGAUCUGCGGGAACAAAUGAACAAGCAGAGUGUCAUAAGUCAGGGACCAGCAUCCAUGCCAACUGCCCGGGAUGACUGCUAAGGCAAUUCAUAUUCUCUCUCAAUCGUCAGCCACCAUAUGAUGUUAAUUGAUCUUGAUCUUCCCCACUCGCCAGUUCUGAAGACACUUCGGAUCUCACAUUAACUUCAUUCAGUCUUUAAGAAUAACCAUAGUAAUAUGCAUCUCAAAGCUAUGGCUCAUGCGCCCAUACAAAAAAGGACAACUGACUAGAUUGAGGAUACGUUAUGGCAAGAAGGCUAUAUAUUCAUGGGUGUGAAUGGGG
Molecule: long non-coding RNA, 376 nt
Organism: Triticum dicoccoides
Lineage: Eukaryota; Viridiplantae; Streptophyta; Magnoliopsida; Poales; Poaceae
Exons: 3
Source: RefSeq, a predicted model, not a curated record